AAAGUUUUAAUAAUCAUGAUUUGGAGUAUUAAUUUUUCAUUCAAAAACAUUGAUAAACAACAACACAUUAAAAAUCUUAUUGCAACAAGUGUUCCUGACACACACCAAUACAGAAAAAAAAUAUUAAUAGGAAAAAACAAAUACUUGAAAGUAUUUUUACGAAAACUUAUAUGAUGUUUAAUUGAGAAAUGAGAGAAAGAAACUCUUUAGUUAUGAGAUAAAAAGUCAGGUUCAAAGCAUAGAAGUUAUAAUUUAUUAUUUGACAACUUAUCAAAUGAGUAUGAAUAUUAUUAAAAAUCUCCUACAAAUCUAAUUGUUCAGAUCUCUUCGGACCGAUUAAAAUGCAAGCAGAUGAGGCCUUGUUAUCGUUUGUGAAAUUACCAGACUAAAUAAAUUAGUAUUAGUAUUAAAAUUCGAAAAUCAAACAAAUCAAUUAAAAGAGAAGUAAAAGUUUGGUAUUCCAAAUUAGACUUAUCCGAUUGAAAAUUGAUGAAUAUUCCUCCGCCACAUGUCCCCUGUACGGCACUAACAAUAGUGUUACAACGAGCUAAUAUAUAUAUAUACACACAAAUCUACCGACAGUUCUCUCAUAAGGAAAAAAAAAAUGGAGAAGAAGAAAAUGGCAGCUAUAGCUAUGGUGUUCAUCAUCCUUUCAUCGGCCAAUAUCGACACGAUCAGUGUUGCUGCUCAAGGUCUCAGUUGCUAUGACAACUGCAACACCGGCUGUGCCGGUCUCCCAUCGGAGGAGUACCUGAUUUGUGAUAACAAGUGCCACGAAAGGUGUGGAGAUGUCUCUUCAUUUCUUGCAGAAAGCAAAAUUUAUGGAAACUUAGUUGAAAGUGUUUAAAUGUAUUGAUUUGGCAAGCUAUCGAGGCUUUAUUGUAGGGAGUUCUACAAAUAAUAAUUUCUUCUUAGUUGGGGAAAAUAAACGUUACUUGUACGUGUAUGUUUAAUUAUUACUAUGAACUUUUAUUUUUUACUUUACUGUAAUAGGAAAUGCAUUUUGUACGAUAAAAGAAAACUAUGUACUGUAUAUGAAACUAUAAUUGUCAGUUCAAUUUGUUAGUUGU
Molecule: non-coding RNA, 1070 nt
Organism: Solanum lycopersicum (tomato)
Lineage: Eukaryota; Viridiplantae; Streptophyta; Magnoliopsida; Solanales; Solanaceae
Source: RefSeq, a predicted model, not a curated record